Dreissena polymorpha is the source of this 1777-nucleotide long non-coding RNA. RefSeq lists it as uncharacterized. NCBI's taxonomy places the organism in Eukaryota, Metazoa, Mollusca, Bivalvia, Myida, Dreissenidae. The record is from RefSeq and is a predicted model, not a curated record. The transcript is spliced from 3 exons.
CCCUGGAAUUAGGUCAGUUUCAGAAAUGUGCGUUUUGUUUGUGUUUUCACUGUUUCCUCUGUAGAAUAAUCGUGGAGAGUGUUUCAUUUAUAGAUCGCAUAUUAACUAAACUUUCAAAAGUGACGUAUAGAUUUAAAUUUUGUAGACCGAAAUUGUCUGUUAAUGUAAUUCUACUUGGGAUUAAUUGGUGUGUUUAAAUGAAGUAAUGAUCAAAUGUGAAGUGACCCAUUCACGUGACAUUGACCGAUGUUGUGUCAGGCCAGAUUUACCAUGCCCAUGUUUGUUCCUGUGUCAGUGACCAUGUGAUUCGUAGCUGCCCGACCAAUUGACUGUGGAAAGGCUGUAGCGUUGUCCACCAUGUCUCCAUGGAUACACUCGAUGUCCCACCUGUAUUUACCGAUGCCCAGGCGCUCAAUCGGCAGCUCGGGCCCACCAUCCCCUCCUCCCCCGCCUCGAGACAUCUGGGCAGCGAUUUCCUCGACGUAACGGUAUCGAAUGUCAGAACGCUGCCUUUUUAGAUAACAGGCAUUGAAGUUGCCGAGGACAGCCAACGUGGACCCUAUUUACGUGUAUAAUCAUUAUUGGAGCGGAGUGUUUCAAAACGAACGUUGAAUGAAUCUCUGUUGGAUAAAACGGUUUCAAAACUAAUGGAUUACUAAAUAAAAAAUUGAACGAAUGGCCCGUUUUAAUUAUUUAACCUUUAAAUCUCUUGUGUUUCACUGUUUACUAUUUAUUAUGUUUUUCGACACUGUGGCAUUGGGGCUCAAUUUCUAAAUAUGUGAAUGCAUUACAGUUGAACUAUUUGUUCUCCUCUUCAUCAUGUAAUGUGAAUAGUAAUGUGUACUUAAUAAUCGAAAUGUCCAAGUUUGUUUCGCCAGACUAGAAAGCUAAUUAAAUCAUAUUUUGAAAUAAAACACCGUGUACGCAUGGAUGCUUGAUUGAUUUUGAGGAUCUUGACGAUUAGUUGUUCAUGUCCAUGUUAAUAAUACCCAUUGUUCAUAGGAUGGCCUAAAUCGGGAGAUCUCGGGUUGCAUUCCAAUAACACGGAUCGUUUGCGAUAUAUUUAUAAGAAUGCACGGUUCUCUCGGGGAAAAAGGCGUAAGAUCUUGUAUCUAUAGAAGCUUUAUAUAUGUUUGAACUCAGCUUUAUUUUGAAAGCAUUUAUUGUACAUCAACAGAACAUCUUACUAUGUAAGACCAGCACAGAAAGGCAGAAAAACGUAAGAAGAAAACAACAGAGUCAUGAUGGCCCAAAGAGCUCAACUGAGUAAUGGCACAGAUGAAAACCAUACCGAUGUAACUGGUUCGAGAAUAAGGAUAUCUGCAGAAUAGUUCUGCACAUGAGGAUGGGACGAGGACUGUAAAAUAAACCUGGGUGGGUUUAACGGCAUUUGUAUUAGUAUGAGUUGGCUCUUGGAAUAGGCGUCAGUGGUUUUGGUAAAUUAAAUGACAAUGGAAAGUGAAGACAAAACUAAUUUGCCGAAAUUGCUUGUCGACGGAUCAGUACUUAACUAGAUUGAAGAACAUGGCAAAUGCAUGCACCGUAGAAUAUUAAAACGACAUUGAUGUGAAUUAUCUUGUAUUACUAACCGACAGAGGUCCACACACCGAGGUAUGUGCGUUUGUGUGUGUGGUGUGUGUUUGUGUGUCCGUCUGUGCUUAAUAUAUGUCCCGAGGUCCACACACGGGUAUAUUUAAUUUUGCUUCCAAUAUUUCAUAUCUUGUAUUUCUUAUCUCCUAACAUAGAAUAAACUUGACCUACCCGGUCUCCUACACAA